Molecule: long non-coding RNA, 222 nt
Filed under: Capsicum annuum
Lineage: Eukaryota; Viridiplantae; Streptophyta; Magnoliopsida; Solanales; Solanaceae
Description: long non-coding RNA (CANN_LNC004678)
Source: RNAcentral
GGGGGCUUGUUUCGUUUGUUUCUAAGUCUUUUCUCUUAUCCCUUUUCUCUUUUUUUUAGUGCAUAUUGCUUUCUGAAAAACGUUAGGAGGGAGUAGUUUUUCUUUUUAAUGUUGUUGCUGGAUAAAGUUGUUUUUCACGUGGUUGAAUCACACGAUUGGGAAGUUCUUUUGGGUUUGUAAUUGUGAGGGAGUAUAUUGGUAGUAGUAGUAGGAGGUUUAUUU